CCCUUAGAUGUUCUGGGCCGCACGCGCGCUACACUGAUGCAUUCAACGAGUCUAAAACCUGCUCUGAUAGGGGUGGGUAAUCUUUUGAAUGUGCAUCGUGAUUGGGAUAGAUGAUUGCAAUUUUUCAUCUUCAACGAGGAAUGCCUAGUAAACGCAAGUCAUCAGCUUGCAUUGAUUACGUCCCUGCCCUUUGUACACACCGCCCGUCGCUCCUACCGAUUGAAUGAUCCGAUGAAUAUCAUGGAUUGAGGAUGCAAGUAGGUUCGCCUAUCUUCAUCUUCGAGAAGUGAAGUAAAUCUUACCAUUUAGAGGAAGGAGAAGUCGUAACA
This 329-nucleotide ribosomal RNA is filed under the name uncultured eukaryote. RNAcentral's name for it is "partial 18S ribosomal RNA". It matches the Rfam family "Eukaryotic small subunit ribosomal RNA", at positions 1470 to 1796 of the family's 1831-position model. The record is from RNAcentral.